RNAcentral lists this long non-coding RNA (5028 nucleotides) under Ornithorhynchus anatinus (platypus). RNAcentral's name for it is "lncRNA (ENSOANG00000041608.1)". Lineage: Eukaryota; Metazoa; Chordata; Mammalia; Monotremata; Ornithorhynchidae. The record is from RNAcentral.
UAUUAGGUCAUGGGUUCGAAUCCCGGCUCGGCCACUUGUCAGCUGGGUGACUGUGGGCCAGUCACUUCACUUCUCGGUGCCCGUUACCUCAUCUGUAAAAUCGAUUAGAUCGAUUACAUCGAUUAGACUGUAAGCCAGUGACCUCAUCUGUAAAAUGGGGAUGAAGACCGGGAGCCCCACGUGGGACACCCUGAUUCCCGUGUCUCCCCCAGCGCUUAGAACAGUGCUCGGCACAGACUAAGCGCUUAACAAAUACCAACAUUAUUAUUAUUAAGCCCGUCAAACGGCAGGGACCGUCUCUAUCUGUGGCCGACUUGUUCAUUCCAAGCGCUUAGUCCAGUGCUCUGCACGUAGUCAGCGCUCAAUAAAGACGAUUGAAAUACUAUGGAAUGAGUAAAAAUGGGGAUGAGGCCUGGGAGCCCCACGUGGGACAACCUGAUGGCCCUGUGUCUCCCCCAGCGCUUAGAACAGUGCUCGGCACAGAGGAAGCGCUUAACAAACACCAACAUGAUUAUUAUUUUUAUUUAUUAUUAUUAAGCGCUGAACAUUGGAGCGAGGGAGUGAAAGGCCGUGAUGGCGGCCCUGAGGCGAGGGGGACACCGGAAGUCCCGCCCUCCGGGCCGAAGAGGCUGCCGGGUAGCGGUUUAAUGCCCGGCCCCCUCAGCCCUGCCUCCUUUUCUCUUUGCGCCUUCGGGCCGCCGCACGGGUCGCGCUCCGCUCCGCCAUUUCCUCCCGCUCCGCCGUCCCGCCCGCUCCGCCAUCCCCACACAAGUGAGUACGAGGCGCCCACCGGGCCCGGACGCUCUGGGCCCCCGUCCGACCCCGCCCGACCCCAACCCGGGGAAGGAGGGCCACAAAAUGGCGGCCGACGGCAGGACUGGCCCCAGGCCCGCCUGGCGGAUGCGUUACGUCGCCGCCUACCUCCUGGCCGUCCUCGGGGGCAACGACUCCCCGGCCCUGAAGGACCUCAAGAAGAUCCUGGACAGCGUGGGCAUCGAGACGGACGACGAACGCCUGAAGAAGGUGAUCGGCGAGCUCAACGGGAAGAACAUCGAAGACGUCAUCGCUCAGGCCGAGGAGAAGAAGAAGGAAGAGAAGAAGGAGGAGUCCGAAGAGUCGGACGACGACAUGGGCUUCGGCCUGUUCGACUAAGCGCCCGCCCCGACCGACGUAAAUAAACCCUUUUAUUUAGAGAGUGCCUCGGCUCCCGUGCGCGCGCCCGUCCCUCCCCGUGGGUCGGCCCGGAUGACGCCGUGGGGCCGAGCCCGGGGACCGGUUGCCCCCCCGGCCGGGCGCCUCGGCUUCGAGGCGAGUCGGCCGAUGACCCCGGUCACCGCAGAUCCCCGGGGGAGAUGGGCGUCAUCUUCCUUGCCCUCGGCGGUCGAGGACGCCAGCUGACUGGGGAAGGGGUCGGCCCGGACGGGACUCCCUGCCGCCGUCAAGGAGCGUACAGUGCCGUCUCUCUCUCUCACCCCCACCGCCGCCGAGGAGCACGGUCUGGGUAUUCGUUCGUUCGGUAGUAUUUGUUGAGCGCUUACUAUGUGCACAGCACUGGACUAAGCCCUUGGAAUGGUCAGUUCGGCAACAGAUAGACGCCGUCCCCGCCCCGGGACCCCCCCCCCCCCCCCCAAUCGGGGGGAGACAGAUGGCAGAGCAAAGCAGAACGGAACGGAAACAAGGCAACGUAAUCACGAUAACGAUAAAUGGAAGUACACAGCAAAGAACAGAGUCUGGUACAUGGUGCACACCAAGGAGCGAUCGGUCUGACCCCACACCCCGAACAAAAGGAGGCGUCCAUCAGCGUGCAGUUCCUUGGGCCUCAGUUUACUUCAUCUGUAAAAUGAGGAGAGGUAAUUCUUGAGGUCUCUGUUAAGCGCUUACUAUGGGCCAAGCACUACUUAGGAGAAGCAGCGUCGCCUAAUGGGGAGAAUACGGGCCUGGCGGGGAGCGGGACCUGGGUUCUAACUUGGCUCUGCCACCUAUCGUGAGACCAUGUGCAAGUCACUUCACUUAUGGACCACAGUUACCUCACCUGUACAUUCAGUAGUAUUUAUUGAGCGCCUACUAUGUGCAGAGAACUGUACUAAGCGCUUGGAACGGACAAUUCGGCAACAGAGAGAGAAUCCCUCUCUGAGGGAUUGAGAGGAUUAAGGCUGUGAGCUCUAUGUGGGACAGGGACCGUGUCCAAUCCGAUUUGCUCGUAUCUACCCCGCCGCUUAGUAAUGAUAAUGUUGGUAUUUGUUGAGCGCUUACUAUGUGCAGAGCACUGUUCUAAGCGCUUGGGGGGGGGGGAGACGGGGGAAUCAGGUCUUCCCCCGUGGGGCUCACAGUCUUCAUCCCCAUUUUCCAGAUGAGGUAACUGAGGCCCAGGGGCAGAGCUGGGACUCGAACUCAUGACCCCUGCCCGCCAAGCCCGUGCUCUUUUCACCGGCACAUAGUAAGCACUUAAAUACCACAAUUAGGUCAUCACUAGGACGGCUCAUCGGGUCCCACAUGGGGCUCUGGGUGCAAGUAGGAGGGAAACCCAUCGAAUCCCCAUUUUGCUGAGGAGGGAACGUGAGCCACUGAAACGAAAUCAGUCAGGAACUCGUUUAUCGAGCGCUUACCGUGUGCAGAGCACCGUACUAAGCUUUUGGGAGAGGACGAUAGAAAAACGGUCCCCGUCCACAGCGAGCCUCCAGUUUAGACGGAGGCAGACGUGAGCGUAAAACGAUGACAGAUGUAGACGUCAGCGCGGUGGGGGAGCGUGUCGGGAAGGAAGUGACAGAAAAGGGAAAAAGGACUUAAUCAGGGUGGGCCUCUUGGAGGAAUAGAAGCAAAUCCAGUCGAAGUCCCCGUCCCCCCCGUGGGGCUCGCCGUCUCAAUCCCCGUUUCCCACGUCACCGGAGCCCUGAGAAGUGAAGGUACUUCCUCAAGGCCACACGACAGACAAGUUGAGAAGCGGCGCGGCUCAGCGGAAAGAGCCCGGGCCGGGGAGUCGGAGGUCGUGGGUUCUGAUCCCGGCUCUGCUGCUUGUCAGCUGUGUAACCGAUAAAGUCACUUCUCUGCGCCUGUUCCCGCAUCUGGAAAAUGGGGACGAAGACGGUGAGCCCCCCGGGGGACAACCUGGUAACCUUGCGUCUACCCCAGGCGCGUAUAACAAAUGCCAACGUUGUUAUUGCGAGCGGCAGAGGCGGGAUUAGAACCCGUGGCCACCCGACUCCUAGGCUUGCGUUCCCUCCACCGCGCCACGCUGCUUCACUGUGGGAUAGGUGGACACCCCCACCAACCUUGCCGUCUCCCCCGCCCGGACCCGGUACUUCGGGCUGAGGGAAUGCUUCGGCCCCCGCCCUUCGGGGCCGACCCCGGCUCGGCCGUUCCGGUCGGACGGGGGCUCCAGCUGGGCCAAUGUUGGAGAAAGGUCACCGAGAAAGCCACCUCCCGCUCCGCUCGGGCCCCCCCCCCUCCCCGUUCUCCUUCCAACCCUGCGGCCCAGGGGACCGGAGCUCCCUCGGCCCCAAAACGAGUCAGGAGAUGUGACGGGGAGUUCAUCUGGCCCAGUGGGCCCGGGGUCACCCCCCCCCCCCCCCACCUGGUGCCAGUCGAUCGCUCGGGAGAGGACAGUCUAAGAAGUGAUAAAUGAAGUCGGUAUUCGUUAAGCGCUCGCUAUAUGCAGAGCACCGUUCUGAGCACCGGGGGAGAUACGGGGUCCUCAGGUUGUCCCACGGGAGGCUCCCAGUCUUCAUCCCUGUUUGAAAGAUGAGGUCACUGAGGCCCGGAGAAGCGAAGCGACUUGCCCACAGUCACCCGGCGGGGAUUCGAACCCACGACCUCCGACUCCCAAGCCCGCGCUCUUUCCAGUGAGCCGCGCCGCUUCCCGACAAACAUGCCCGCAACAGGCUUACAGUCUAGAGCGGGAGACGGACAUUAAUAGAAAUGAAUGAAUUAUAGAGACGUAUAGCCGAGGCCGGGGGGGGGAGGGAUGAUGAUAACGUUGGUAUUCGUUAAGCGCUUCCUAUGUGCCGAGCGCCGUUGUAAGCGCUGGGGGAGAUAGGGGGUCGUCGGGUCGUCCCACGUGAGGCUCACGGUCUUCAUCCCCAUUUUACAGAUGAGGGAACUGAGGCCCAGAGAAGUGAAGUGACGAAUAAAGGGAGCAAGCCAGGGAGAGGAGGAAAGGAGGGCUUAGUCGGGGAGGGCUUCUUGGAGGAGGUGGGCCUUCAGUAAGGCUUUGAAGCGAGAGGGGAAGAGUUAGUGUCUUUUUUCGGGUGCGUUUGGAGGGCUGUGGAGACAAACCACCCCACCCCAGUACUGCUCCUAGACCCUGAGCUCGCUGGGGGGCAGGGAUCGUGUCGUAACGGAGAAGCGGCACGGUGCGGUGGAAAGAGCGCUGGCCUGCGAGUCGGAAGGUCAUGGGUUCUAAUCCCAGUUCCACCAUUUGUUGCGUGACCUCGGGCAAUUGGCUUCUCCGGGCCUCGGUGACCUCAUCCGUAUAAAGGUUUAUCGAGGCUGAGACGGCAUCCGAUUCAUUCAUUCGUUCACUCCAUGGUAUCUAUUGAGCGCUUACUCUGUGCAGAGCACUGGACUAAGCGCUGGGAACGGACAGAUGGGUAACAGAUAGAGACGGUCCCUGCCCUCUGACGGGCUCACGGUCUCAUCGGGGGAGACGGACAAGAAGAAUGGCAAUAAACUCGAUUUGCUUGUAUCCACCCCGGCGCUCGGUACGGUCCCCGGCACAUCGCGCUGAACAGAUGCCGUAAUUAUUACUGUUUUAUAGCCCCCCAAGCGCUUAGUACAGCGCUCCGCACACAGUGAGCGCGCAAUAAAGACGAUCGAGUGAACGAACGGUUCCAGCGGCCGCCGGGAGCCUCGUUGCCGGAGUCGGCGGGGCCGGUCCGCCCCGCCCCCGGCCCCUCUGUUUACCGGACCCUUGACCUCUCGGAAGCCGGGCCCGGGUGAGAACUUCCCCCGGGGACCCCCGUCCCUCCGCCCACCCCCUCCCUCUGCCCUUAAACUUUGCCUCGAAAACAGACUUUCAGUUUUCGAGCCCGG